This 200-nucleotide ribosomal RNA is filed under the name uncultured bacterium. RNAcentral describes it as "partial 16S ribosomal RNA". It matches the Rfam family "Bacterial small subunit ribosomal RNA", at positions 8 to 213 of the family's 1533-position model. The record is from RNAcentral.
AGAGUUUGAUCCUGGCUCAGAUUGAACGCUGGCGGCACGCCUAACACAUGCAAGUCGAGCGGUAACAGGUUUAGUAGCAAUACUAGACGCUGACGAGCGGCGGACGGGUGAGGAACACGUAGGAAUCUGCCUCUAAGAGGGGGACAACCAAGGGAAACUUUGGCUAAUACCGCAUAACCUCGAGAGAGCAAAGCUGCCGC